UGAUAACCGAUGACGGAGAAAAGUAGUUAAGGCCCACAUGGCCAGAGAGGAAACGCCUGAGGCUGCGAGCGUUUCUCCAUGAUGGCUUAACGAAAGACACUCCAUAGGUUUCCCUUUGAACGCGCUUUGCGCCAGUAAGGGGGAACGCGCGCCACGCGUUAGCGGCGACAAGAGGAAGCUGUAUGCUUCAAUUAGGGUGGCACCGCGGGAAUGACGCUCUCGUCCCUAUC
This 230-nucleotide non-coding RNA is filed under the name Geobacillus thermodenitrificans. RNAcentral describes it as "T-box sequence". It matches the Rfam family "T-box leader". Rfam says of the family: Uncharged tRNA acts as the effector for transcription antitermination of genes in the T-box leader family. T-boxes are found upstream of many aminoacyl-tRNA synthetase genes and some amino acid biosynthetic genes usually in Gram-positive bacteria. The record is from RNAcentral. Lineage: Bacteria; Bacillati; Bacillota; Bacilli; Caryophanales; Anoxybacillaceae.